This 253-nucleotide ribosomal RNA is filed under the name uncultured bacterium. RNAcentral describes it as "partial 16S ribosomal RNA". It matches the Rfam family "Bacterial small subunit ribosomal RNA", at positions 524 to 776 of the family's 1533-position model. The record is from RNAcentral.
UACGGAGGGUGCAAGCGUUAUCCGGAUUUACUGGGUUUAAAGGGUGCGUAGGCGGGUUGUUAAGUCAGGGGUGAAACCUCCGAGCUUAACUCGGAAACUGCCUUUGAUACUAUCAGUCUUGAAUUCAGUUGAGGUGGGCGGAAUGUGUCGUGUAGCGGUGAAAUGCUUAGAUAUGACACAGAACACCAAUUGCGAAGGCAGCUCGCUAAACUGACAUUGACGCUGAGGCACGAAAGCGUGGGGAUCAAACAGG